RNAcentral lists this ribosomal RNA (441 nucleotides) under uncultured Pseudomonas sp. RNAcentral describes it as "bacterial SSU rRNA". It matches the Rfam family "Bacterial small subunit ribosomal RNA", at positions 8 to 451 of the family's 1533-position model. Lineage: Bacteria; Pseudomonadati; Pseudomonadota; Gammaproteobacteria; Pseudomonadales; Pseudomonadaceae. The record is from RNAcentral.
AGAGUUUGAUCCUGGCUCAGAUUGAACGCUGGCGGCAGGCCUAACACAUGCAAGUCGAGCGGUAGAGAGAAGCUUGCUUCUCUUGAGAGCGGCGGACGGGUGAGUAAUGCCUAGGAAUCUGCCUGGUAGUGGGGGAUAACGCUCGGAAACGGACGCUAAUACCGCAUACGUCCUACGGGAGAAAGCAGGGGACCUUCGGGCCUUGCGCUAUCAGAUGAGCCUAGGUCGGAUUAGCUAGUUGGUGAGGUAAUGGCUCACCAAGGCGACGAUCCGUAACUGGUCUGAGAGGAUGAUCAGUCACACUGGAACUGAGACACGGUCCAGACUCCUACGGGAGGCAGCAGUGGGGAAUAUUGGACAAUGGGCGAAAGCCUGAUCCAGCCAUGCCGCGUGUGUGAAGAAGGUCUUCGGAUUGUAAAGCACUUUAAGUUGGGAGGAAGG